Ictidomys tridecemlineatus (thirteen-lined ground squirrel) is the source of this 70-nucleotide non-coding RNA. Lineage: Eukaryota; Metazoa; Chordata; Mammalia; Rodentia; Sciuridae. The record is from Rfam.
UGUUGUGGCUCAGUGGUAGAGCACUCACCUAGAUAGUGUGAGGCACUGGGUUCAAUCCUCAGCACCACAU